This 744-nucleotide long non-coding RNA is filed under the name Equus asinus (donkey). Its description in RNAcentral is "lncRNA (ENSEASG00005037480.1)". Lineage: Eukaryota; Metazoa; Chordata; Mammalia; Perissodactyla; Equidae. The record is from RNAcentral.
CUCCAGUGCCUCGUGGUCUUUUUCUCCCGCUUUAGGUGGGAGAGGAUGGCUAGAGUGGGCUGGAGUUGGGUAAGUCCCUUCCCCAGGUGUCAGUUAUGCUCUGCUGAAAGCCCAACAGGUUAGGCUCUGGUUAACUAAUUUCCCCUGAGGCUAGGCCUUGUUAAGAAGCACAGAGUGCUCUGGCUUAUUUCAGAAUCGUUCCUUUUCACCUUCCCUACCAGAAGCCCAAGGGGAUUUUUCUCUGAUAUUUACCGCAGGAACCUGGUCGAGCUCCUAAACGUAUGGACAUCAAGAUUCCUGGAAAAUACUAUUGAUGUCUUUCUGUCAUGCAUCAUGGAAAUGCUGGAGACGAUUUGUCGGAUAAUUAAAAGAGAAACCUGUAAAGGCAAGAUUCCUGUGAGCGAGUUGGUGCUGCAACGUGCUGCUCUGAACUGUGCCACCCCUUGGGUCCUCACAGAUGCCCCCAGAUCGCUUGAAAUGUCUAAAAAGACCUCGGAACAUUAGAAAAUGUCAAUUGUUAGAAUAAUUUCUGCCUCUUACAACAAGAGAAAAUACUAUGGAUUUAAUAGUUCAUUUUUAAAAUGUUUUUAUCCACCAGUAACUGUCUAUUAGGAACAUUUCAGUUAUAAUUGGAAUAAAUUGUUGCCCAGUAACAAGCGACUAAGUCUGUAGCUACUUUCCAUAGAAUCAGUGACUAGAAAUAGCUACAAAGAGCUAAAUGCAAGUCAAACCACAACACUACCA